Molecule: transfer RNA, 75 nt
Filed under: Thermoproteus sp.
Lineage: Archaea; Thermoproteati; Thermoproteota; Thermoprotei; Thermoproteales; Thermoproteaceae
Description: tRNA-His
Rfam family: tRNA
About the family: Transfer RNA (tRNA) molecules are approximately 80 nucleotides in length.
Source: RNAcentral
GCCGCCGUAGUCUAGCGGUCAGGAUGGUGGGCUGUGGCCCCAUUGACCCGGGUUCAAAUCCCGGCGGCGGCCCCA